GACGAACGCUGGCGGCGUGCUUAACACAUGCAAGUCGAACGGAGUGCCUAUGACAGAGGUUUCGGCCAAUUGAUUAGGUUACUUAGUGGCGGACUGGUGAGUAACGCGUGAGGAACCUGCCUUUCAGAGGGGGACAACAGUUGGAAACGACUGCUAAUACCGCAUGACAUAGCGAAGAGGCAUCUUUUGCUAUCAAAGAUUUAUCGCUGAUAGAUGGGCUUGCGUCCGAUUAGAUAGUUGGUGAGGUAACGGCUCACCAAGUCGACGAUCGGUAGCCGGACUGAGAGGUCGAACGGCCACAUUGGGACUGAGACACGGCCCAGACUCCUACGGGAGGCAGCAGUGGGGGAUAUUGCACAAUGGGGGAAACCCUGAUGCAGCGACGCCGCGUGAGGGAAGACGGUCCUCUGGAUUGUAAACCUCUGUCUUCGGGGACGAAAGAAGACGGUACCCGAGGAGGAAGCCACGGCUAACUACGUG
RNAcentral lists this ribosomal RNA (480 nucleotides) under uncultured bacterium. RNAcentral's name for it is "bacterial SSU rRNA". It matches the Rfam family "Bacterial small subunit ribosomal RNA", at positions 28 to 507 of the family's 1533-position model. The record is from RNAcentral.